GACGAACGCUGGCGGCGUGCUUAACACAUGCAAGUCGAACGGCAAGGCCCUGCUUUUGUGGGGUGCUCGAGUGGCGAACGGGUGCGUAACACGUGAGUAACCUGCCCUUGACUUUGGGAUAACUUCAGGAAACUGGGGCUAAUCCCGGAUAGGAGCUCCUGCUGCAUGGUGGGGGUUGGAAAGUUUCGGCGGUUGGGGAUGGACUCGCGGCUUAUCAGCUUGUUGGUGGGGUAGUGGCUUACCAAGGCUUUGACGGGUAGCCGGCCUGAGAGGGUGACCGGCCACAUUGGGACUGAGAGACGGCCCAGACUCCUACGGGAGGCAGCAGUGGGGAAUAUUGCACAAUGGGCGGAAGCCUGAUGCAGCAACGCCGCGUGCGGGAUGACGGCCUUCGGGUUGUAAACCGCUUUCGCCUGUGACGAAGCGUGAGUGACGGUAAUGGGUAAAGAAGCACCGGCUAACUACGUG
Molecule: ribosomal RNA, 468 nt
Filed under: uncultured bacterium
Lineage: Bacteria
Description: partial 16S ribosomal RNA
Rfam family: Bacterial small subunit ribosomal RNA
Source: RNAcentral